Trichonephila clavipes is the source of this 71-nucleotide non-coding RNA. The record is from the annotation of a GenBank genome assembly. Lineage: Eukaryota; Metazoa; Arthropoda; Arachnida; Araneae; Nephilidae.
GCCGCCCAGCCAGUAUGGUGGAUCCUCGGCUUGUAACCGAGUGGGUUCGGGUUCGAAACCCGAGUAAGGCA